Molecule: long non-coding RNA, 5500 nt
Organism: Dermochelys coriacea (leatherback sea turtle)
Lineage: Eukaryota; Metazoa; Chordata; Testudines; Dermochelyidae
Exons: 3
Source: RefSeq, a predicted model, not a curated record
GACCCAAUGCGCUGCCUAUGUGGAGGAUCAGGGUAUUAAUGAUCACUCAGUCAAGCUGUGUAUAUUUAGCUCUUAGUCUUUAAAUAUUGUGACAUAUCCUAAUAAUAAGAUAAAGUUAUCUUAAAGCAAAAUCUAAUUUUGUAACAAACUGUAAAAUGAAAUGAAAGUAUUCUCUUAACUAAAACUUUAAUGACAUUUUUACUUUUAAUAACACAUUUAAUCUGUCUGAUGGCAAAAUGGGUCAUAUAGCACGCUUGGUCCUCUUAAAUGUCAUAGCUGUAGUCAUAUUUGAUGAUUUGGUAACUGGUCUGACAGCUGUAUUUGAACAUAGCAUGUUCAGGAUCAGUGACAUGCUAUUUGUGUGUUAAAGCUUUAAAUAUAGAAUGUAUGUAUUGUUACUUUUGUUAGAAGCUUGUGUGAAUUUCAAUAUGGCAGCUCCAUAUUUUGGCCUGUUUAUUCCUUCAUAGUAAUGCAGAGGAUGCCAUUAUUGUGUGCAGUAAAACUAAGUUAUGUAACUUUUUCAGGAAAAUGAAGCGACUUCAGGAAGGAGUACUAAACUCAACAGUUUCCUAGUCGGCACCUGCUGUGUUAGAAUAGUGUGGAUCUCCCACAAGUAAUUAUGGGAAUAAUUCCUUCUAGUGAUAUACUGCUCACUACACCUUGAGCAGUUGAGAAUCCUUCUCUAAUUCUUGAAAAGAGAAAUUUUAAUGUUGAGGUUCGAUAACUGUAUAUCUGCUUUUUGCAUUUGAAAUCUGGCAUUAGUACUUCAAAAAGGAAAUUGUUACAUUAAACUUCUUGCUGUUGCCUUCUAGGAAUAGGAUAUUUUUAUUUUCUUGAGAUAAGGUUGAUAUUGCAAAGUUCUUUAAUAGCAGCUGUUGUAUAGGCAAGUCCUGUGCAAUACUAUAACCCGUUCAAUAGCUCCAUUUUCCACUGAAGUAAUGUUCAUUUUUAGGUUGGCUGUAUUAUAUCAAAUUCAAUCUAGUUAUCUGUCACUUGACAAUGACACUGCAGCAGCCUCAAAUGGAGAUUUGAAUAGGUGAUUGUGGAGCAGAGUGGAAUCUGUGUACUGUUACUAUUGUUUGUUUAUAAGGAAAGUGUUUCUACAUUUGGGUUACAUAGAAAUCUUAGUGGGAAUGCAGCAUUAACCAUUUUAGCAUGACUGAAUGUCACUCAUCACCAGAAAAACUCUGGUCAUGUUAUGUUUUAUUUAGUGUGCCCCAAGAAGAAGGGAGGCAAAGCGUGCAGUGCUGUUUCUGCUAUUGCCCUUGUACUUGCUAAUUUAGAGCUUAGAAAAAUUUACUUGAAAUCUGUUAGCCAGAGUGAGCUAUAUAUAUAUGCUGCCUUGCUCCUGUGGCUAUGGCCUCCAAAGCCAUAUGCCCUGAUGUCUAUAUUACAACUUGUUACAUUUAAAAACGAAACAUAUAUUUAACUGUCCUUUCUUGUUUUUGUCAUAUUUUGACAUCAUUCCAGGCUUUUUUCCUUUUCUUUUGUUUUUUUUUGCUCUUCCUGAUCUUUCCUUAGAUUGUGUUCUCCCGUCCCCAUAGUUUCUUCUUUCAAAUCUUUCUCUUUCCUUGCAUAUAUGUUCACCACAGUACUCUUCCACUCAUCCAAAUAAUACAUUUGUCCCUAUCCCUAAACACCUGGAUUGUAAUUUUGCCUGGACACCAGUCUGGAGGACUAAAGGCUAGUUAUACCCUGGUGACAAUGGGGUUAGGGAGGAAAAGGGGUACUGUCCAGGAACAGUACUCAAAUGAAACUAAAUUCCUAUACUCUGCUUCCCCCCCACCCCAGCCAGCAAGAGUUCAGUAAAUCUACUACACACCCUUCCUUGGCCAAACCUGUUUGGGUUUCUGGAAAGGAGCAUUCUUCUGAGGCCUUCUCCUCUGUACUCCCAACCCCUCCAGAGCUGUCUUUCACUGUGAAAGUGGGUACGGUCUGUCUUGCUCUACCCCUUCCUCAAGCUCUUUGCUUAUGUAAUGGAGGAACGAUCUCUAUCUUACACGAUUCCUCAGUUUUUUUUAGCUCCCAGGGGCACAUCAGCCCGCUACUUUGCUUCUUGUCACGUUUCUGCUUGACUACUCCCUCAGUGUCUGCCUCUGCUCAGCUUUGCUGAGCUACAGCAGUAUGAAACACUGACAUGAGUACUUGUCAAUAACUGUUUCCCAAAGAGUUCUGAAUAGCAACUUCAAAGGUGAUCAGUCUUAGCUUUCCCAAAGCAGCAGAGUGAAACUAUGAGCAACAUGAUGGGUAUUGGAACUAUUUUCUGCAGAUAUAAGAAAAUAACUAAAUGCAAGACAAUGCAAUGCUAUCAUUUGGAAGGUUCUCUAGAACUAUAAGAAUUAGAAAUACAUACAUUUUUUUUUAAAUGAGAGGUUAGAUUCUGUGGAAGUUGAUGACACUUGCCAGGAAAGCUUCCUAUUUGUUACAGAUGAGUGGAUUUUUUUUUUUCAAGGUCUAUGCUAAUAUUCUUUGGGGAGGGGGUUCAAUGGCAGGGAGGAAAGAAAGGAGUUAAAAAAAAAAAAACUUUAAGGUAUCAGUUACCAAUUAGCAUAAAAACAUAAUUCUUUUCAGUAAGUAGGCAUUUAAAAUUUGAUUUUUUUGGCAAAUGCUGAAAGUGGUUUGUGGGAAACAUUUCAAGUUAUUUGAGCAUAAGCUUUCGUGAGCUACAGCUCACUUCAUCUCUUCCCUCCCCCUCCCCGUGGGUAUACUAAGGCCAGUAUAGCUCCAGUUUAUUAGAUUCCUUCUCUUGAAAGGACAAGGAGGAUAGUAAUUGCUAGGUUCCAUUAUAUGCAACUGUCUUCUUGCACUAAUAUAUUGCAUACUGGGUUAAAUCUGUUUAAAGGAUAUCUUAAACAAGAAACUACCUGCCUUGGGUACUUGGAUUAUACUUAUCUGUUUUUUAAGAUUAUUUCAAUGUUGAUAGUCAGGAUUUACAAAAUUUACUGAACACCCACCAAGCCAGAGGCUGAUGUGGAAGUUCAUAGUGGAGGAAAACCAGUUAGGUCCUGGUAAAAAUCUGUUUAUACUAGUACUUGUGAAGGAGAGGGUACUGGAGUUCUUCUGAGAUGCCAUUCAUAAACCUUGCUCGGGAAUCUUUCUGUCACUGACUAGUAAGUGUCUGUCUGAUAAAUUUAUUUAAAACUUUACCCUCUUACCUACCCAGCUAUCCCUUUGGCUUCUGUAAAGAAGCAGCUGUCUUCUCCCACAUAUCCUAGAACCACCUGACUUUUGCAAGGAUUAGGGGUUCUCACUGCUUUGCUGUGGGGGGUGUGUGUGUGUGUCCUCCUCUGGCUGUUCUAAUAAUCUCUGCUAUUCUACCCUUCCAUCUCAUCUAAGUAAUCGCAUGAGACGUGUCCUGUAGAAUCAGAGUGCCUCAAAAGUAUUUAGAAAUAUUGAUCUUUCCUUUUCCCCUCUUGUUCCAGUGGAAUGUAGCUGUCAUAGUCGAGGGAGAGGCAAUCUCUUGAGUAACUAAGACGACAAGGACCUUGAAUUGCUUUUUGUAUUUAAUGCAGUGCUAUUGCAGAGAGUGAAGCACCAGAGUUGCAUGUUAAUAAUGACCAGAAUGCUGUGUCCUGUACCAUUUGGAACUUUCAAGGUGUAUAUGGCUUCAUUUCUAGAAAUAAGUUGAAAUCACAUUUGGAGGUCACAAAUGCAUGGAACACCAUGGCCAGUUUUACAUUCAAUAGGAUGGAGUACAGUCUUCUGGCCAGAUGUAGAUGGAAGUAGACUUCUUUUGUCAAAAUGGUUUUGGGGAAUCUAAUACAUUGAGGAAUCCAAAAGGAUCCAAGCCUGCAGACAGACUUAAUCAGAGGGCAGAUGCCUUCAAUAGCUGGAGUUAUCAUAGAGAAGGCAAUUUCUUCAAAGUGCUUCCCUCUUUUCCAAGAAGCAGCAGGGUGAAAUUGAGAAUUCUUUCUGGUUUCAUUGUUGUCCAUAGGGUUCUGAUUUUAGCAGAUUUGAAACCGAUAGCCUUAUCAGUUUCUGGUUGGGAAAAACUAUUAACAGCAGAGGCAUUGGAAUAAUCUGCCCAUCGACUCAUUAAACUCAAAUAACUUCAUUGGUUGGUAUUUGGAAGGAUUUCUUUACCACGGGAUAAAACCUUUUUAAUGUUAAGGCUUAGAUACUGCAGAAAUUAAUAGCAUAAUGUUGAGCUGACCCCUUCCACAUUUACUACAGCCAGUACCAAAAAUGAAUUUUUUUUCAAGUCAUUCCAAUGUGAGAAUUGCUCUGAAAAGUUGAGUGGAACAUUUUAAGUAAAGCAUCGUUUUCUUUAUUAUACGUCCCCACUAAUAUGGCUGUGAGGGUGGGGAGAGAAGGGAUGUCUCAACAGUUUUAAUUGGUGUCCUCUAAAAUUAUUUUGACUUUAUGAAGUCCUCCUUCUUCCCUGAAGAUAUGACUACGUGUAUUGCAGAUGCCAUGGAUUAUGUGGGUUGCAACAAGGACCAUUUGAUAAUAAAACUGGUGUAGAAAGUAGUUGACCCUACGAGUCUCUUAUUGCGCAACCUAUCUAGUCGUCUUGACCUCAGGCCACUUGGAGACCUCAGAGUGGCGGAGCCUGGCAGCUUUCCUUGUAUAUUAAAGUGACAAUGUAUGAGACAAAUCCUGACUUAGAAGAAAUGUUUAUCCUUAAGCAUGUGAUGAUCAUAGCAUUUCUGGUCCCUUUUCUGAGCCAGUCCUGUAAUGAUCUCCAUCCCACAAACCAAAUGGGUAGCUGGAUAAUUCCCAGUUGUAAUUAAUCCUCCCCCAUACUACCUAUAUCUCUUGGGGAAUGUCUGCACAGCAAAAAAAAAAAAACCCUACGGCUAGCCUGUGCCAGCUGGCUCAAGCUGCGGAGCUGUUUCCUUGCUGUGUAGGCUUCCAGGCUUGGGCUGGAGCCUGGGCUCUAGGGUCCUGCAGGAUGGGAGGGUCCCAUAACCCAGAAGUCUACACAGCAAGGAAACAGCCUGAGCCAGCUGGUGCAGACUAGCCACAGACUUUUCUUUGCUGUGUAGACGUAUCCUUGGUAUCAAACCUGUAGCAUUCCUUUCCCCCAUGGCCUCUUAUACCAGACCCAAAGCAAUCCUUGACUCGGUGUUGGACACCUGGGGAGCAAUAUUGUAAAUAUUUUUUCCCCCCAAUCUGACUUGGAUCCAACAAUGCUGAUAUUCUACAGUAGAACCUCAGUUAUGAACACCAAAGUUAUGAAAUAACCAGUCAACCACACAAAUAAAAAGCAAGUACAGUACGGUGUUAAAUGUAAACUACUUUAAAAAAAAAAAAGUCGGGGGAGGAAACCCCACUUUUUGUUGAAACAAACUUUUCUGGCAUUGAGGAAUCAAACAGUAAACAUUUUGGUAAUGCAUGGGUGCUAAGUGAAAUGGAUCAUGAAUUGACAAGUAGUUUUCUUGACCAAACCAAAUUAAAUGUAGAAUAACACCUUUUAAAUAUUAAGUUGAUCUAUGCUAGAAAAUCUUUGUGUGAUGUAAAAACCUUGUCUAUCAGUAAUUCCUAAAAUAUUUUCUCA